AGUAAGUCUCUAAAUAGGAUCCCAUCUAGAAAACCCGGCAACUUGGGGAGGAAAAAUAUAAAAAAAUAACCCAAUCAAGGUUCACAAUCUUGGUACCUGACCAUCUUGGUACAAUGUUGGUAUGCUCGGUAUCAUGGUUGGUUCGGUAUACCAAUACUCGGACCCCUCUUGUACCACGUGCUAGUUUGGCAAUGAUAUAGUAUGCCUGGUAUGCACCGAUAUGGCGGACCAUGAUUAUCCAAUGCACUGAAUUGUGGAAAGAGCAUGGACUCUUGUUUUUCCCAUUGCACAUGCUGAAUACCAUUAUCUAAAAUUUUAAGGUCUAUUUGGUUGGCAGUCAUUCUAUCCAUGCAAGAUCCUCAACCAUUUGAUGUUGUUGAGAACAGAUGCUGUAGUGCAAGACUAUAAGAGAAAUAGAGGAUUCUGAGUGCUAGAGGUAGUCAAGACCCUGUUAAGCGAUAAUAGAUUCCAUCAAUAAGGUGAUCUUUUCUUAUCCAUAAAAAAUAUGGUGGGACAAUAAAUUGCGUGGCAUCUUUCAAGCCCUGAUAUUUCUUAACUCGCUUGUUUCCUUUCUCAGAACUAUCCUUUAUAAGAUCAUUUUGCUGGAUAAUACAACUUGAUGUCCAAAGAGACCUCAAUGAAUAAAUUUAGCAAAUAAUUGUCUAGACGGAAAAAAGGCAUCUAACAGGGGUACAGUAUCGGCAAGAAGAUGGACAAAUUAGGAGCUCCGAAUCAAAAUAAUCCUGAAUCCAGUAGAUCUAUUCCAGAUGGGAACUUCUAAAAGAGAAGGUCCUGAAUCCAAU
RNAcentral lists this long non-coding RNA (803 nucleotides) under Phoenix dactylifera (date palm). RNAcentral describes it as "long non-coding RNA (PDAC_LNC014562)". Lineage: Eukaryota; Viridiplantae; Streptophyta; Magnoliopsida; Arecales; Arecaceae. The record is from RNAcentral.